This 107-nucleotide non-coding RNA is filed under the name human gut metagenome. RNAcentral describes it as "SAM riboswitch (S box leader)". It matches the Rfam family "SAM riboswitch aptamer (S box leader)". From Rfam's summary of the family: The SAM riboswitch is found upstream of a number of genes which code for proteins involved in methionine or cysteine biosynthesis in Gram-positive bacteria. The record is from RNAcentral.
CUUAUGAAGAGCGGCUGAGGGAAAGGCCCUUUGAAGCCCGGCAACCUGCGCGCAAUUCGAAGUGCGCGCAAGGUGCUAAAUCCUGCGGUAUGAACCGGAAGAUAAGG